RNAcentral lists this microRNA precursor (206 nucleotides) under Oryza glumipatula. Its description in RNAcentral is "MIR812 microRNA precursor family". It matches the Rfam family "MIR812 microRNA precursor family". Lineage: Eukaryota; Viridiplantae; Streptophyta; Magnoliopsida; Poales; Poaceae. The record is from Rfam by way of RNAcentral.
AAAAAAACAAAUCUUGAGUUUCCGUGUGCAACAUUUCACUAUCCGUCUUAUAUAAUCUUUUUUUAUAAUUAGUAUUUUUAUUAUUAUUUGAUGAUAGUAAAACAUAACUAAUAUUUUAUAUUUGAUUUGUCUUUUUAAUUUUUUUCAUAAUUUUAUUAAAUAAGGCGGAUAGUUAAACGUUGAACUAAAAAAGGGUUUGCCUUUUU